Molecule: ribosomal RNA, 150 nt
Filed under: Escherichia coli
Lineage: Bacteria; Pseudomonadati; Pseudomonadota; Gammaproteobacteria; Enterobacterales; Enterobacteriaceae
Also listed under: 2 other names
Description: partial 16S ribosomal RNA
Rfam family: Bacterial small subunit ribosomal RNA
Source: RNAcentral
AAAUUGAAGAGUUUGAUCAUGGCUCAGAUUGAACGCUGGCGGCAGGCCUAACACAUGCAAGUCGAACGGUAACAGGAAACAGCUUGCUGUUUCGCUGACGAGUGGCGGACGGGUGAGUAAUGUCUGGGAAACUGCCUGAUGGAGGGGGAU